UACGGGGGGGGCAAGCGUUGUUCGGAAUUACUGGGCGUAAAGGGCUCGUAGGCGGCCAACUAAGUCGGACGUGAAAUCCCCAGGCUCAACCUGGGAACUGCGUCUGAUACUGGAUGGCUUGAAUCCGGGAGAGGGAUGCAGAAUUCCAGGUGUAGCGGUGAAAUGCGUAGAUAUCUGGAGGAAUACCGGUGGCGAAGGCGGCAUCCUGGACCGGCAUUGACGCUGAGACGCGAAAGCGUGGGGAGCGAACAGG
RNAcentral lists this ribosomal RNA (253 nucleotides) under uncultured bacterium. RNAcentral describes it as "partial 16S ribosomal RNA". It matches the Rfam family "Bacterial small subunit ribosomal RNA", at positions 524 to 776 of the family's 1533-position model. The record is from RNAcentral.